Molecule: ribosomal RNA, 1735 nt
Filed under: Salmonella enterica
Lineage: Bacteria; Pseudomonadati; Pseudomonadota; Gammaproteobacteria; Enterobacterales; Enterobacteriaceae
Also listed under: 2 other names
Description: partial 23S ribosomal RNA
Rfam family: Bacterial large subunit ribosomal RNA
Source: RNAcentral
CUGAUGCGUUGUUGGGUAGGGGAGCGUUCUGUAAGCCUGCGAAGGUGGCCUGUGAGGGUUGCUGGAGGUAUCAGAAGUGCGAAUGCUGACAUAAGUAACGAUAAAGCGGGUGAAAAGCCCGCUCGCCGGAAGACCAAGGGUUCCUGUCCAACGUUAAUCGGGGCAGGGUGAGUCGACCCCUAAGGCGAGGCCGAAAGGCGUAGUCGAUGGGAAACGGGUUAAUAUUCCCGUACUUGGUGUUACUGCGAAGGGGGGACGGAGAAGGCUAUGUUGGCCGGGCGACGGUUGUCCCGGUUUAAGCGUGUAGGUGUGUGUUCCAGGUAAAUCCGGUUCACUUUAACACUGAGGCGUGAUGACGAGGCACUACGGUGCUGAAGCAACAAAUGCCCUGCUUCCAGGAAAAGCCUCUAAGCAUCAGGUAACAUCAAAUCGUACCCCAAACCGACACAGGUGGUCAGGUAGAGAAUACCAAGGCGCUUGAGAGAACUCGGGUGAAGGAACUAGGCAAAAUGGUGCCGUAACUUCGGGAGAAGGCACGCUGACACGUAGGUGAAGUGAUUUACUCAUGGAGCUGAAGUCAGUCGAAGAUACCAGCUGGCUGCAACUGUUUAUUAAAAACACAGCACUGUGCAAACACGAAAGUGGACGUAUACGGUGUGACGCCUGCCCGGUGCCGGAAGGUUAAUUGAUGGGGUCAGCGCAAGCGAAGCUCCUGAUCGAAGCCCCGGUAAACGGCGGCCGUAACUAUAACGGUCCUAAGGUAGCGAAAUUCCUUGUCGGGUAAGUUCCGACCUGCACGAAUGGCGUAAUGAUGGCCAGGCUGUCUCCACCCGAGACUCAGUGAAAUUGAACUCGCUGUGAAGAUGCAGUGUACCCGCGGCAAGACGGAAAGACCCCGUGAACCUUUACUAUAGCUUGACACUGAACAUUGAGCCUUGAUGUGUAGGAUAGGUGGGAGGCUUUGAAGUGUGGACGCCAGUCUGCAUGGAGCCGGCCUUGAAAUACCACCCUUUAAUGUUUGAUGUUCUAACGUGGACCCGUGAUCCGGGUUGCGGACAGUGUCUGGUGGGUAGUUUGACUGGGGCGGUCUCCUCCUAAAGAGUAACGGAGGAGCACGAAGGUUGGCUAAUCCUGGUCGGACAUCAGGAGGUUAGUGCAAUGGCAUAAGCCAGCUUGACUGCGAGCGUGACGGCGCGAGCAGGUGCGAAAGCAGGUCAUAGUGAUCCGGUGGUUCUGAAUGGAAGGGCCAUCGCUCAACGGAUAAAAGGUACUCCGGGGAUAACAGGCUGAUACCGCCCAAGAGUUCAUAUCGACGGCGGUGUUUGGCACCUCGAUGUCGGCUCAUCACAUCCUGGGGCUGAAGUAGGUCCCAAGGGUAUGGCUGUUCGCCAUUUAAAGUGGUACGCGAGCUGGGUUUAGAACGUCGUGAGACAGUUCGGUCCCUAUCUGCCGUGGGCGCUGGAGAACUGAGGGGGGCUGCUCCUAGUACGAGAGGACCGGAGUGGACGCAUCACUGGUGUUCGGGUUGUCAUGCCAAUGGCACUGCCCGGUAGCUAAAUGCGGAAGAGAUAAGUGCUGAAAGCAUCUAAGCACGAAACUUGCCCCGAGAUGAGUUCUCCCUGAGACUUAGAGUCUCCUGAAGGAACGUUGAAGACGACGACGUUGAUAGGCCGGGUGUGUAAGCGCAGCGAUGCGUUGAGCUAACCGGUACUAAUGAACCGUGAGGCUUAACCUU